UUGAUAUGGCAGUAUAUCUACUAAAAUUGGAACAAUACAGACAAGAUUAGCAUGGCCCUGUGCAAGGAUGAUGUGCAAAUUUGUGAAGAGAAGCUUAUAGGA
Molecule: small nuclear RNA, 102 nt
Organism: Vombatus ursinus (common wombat)
Lineage: Eukaryota; Metazoa; Chordata; Mammalia; Diprotodontia; Vombatidae
Source: Ensembl